AGUCCUGUGUUUGGAGCACCAGAAAUAAACCAGCUUCAGAAGCAAAAACGACGUUAACAGGAGGAGGAAGCAGAGCUAGAGCUGGAAGGAGACCCAGCCAGCCCGGGCUCCAGUGACAUCAGCCGGUACACGCUCUUGUUUGCUUACGCUUGUUGAACUGAGUUUUUCAUAUGUAACUAACCAAUACUGGCACAUGUGAGCCCGAGAAUUUGCAUUUCUGACAAGAUCCCAGGUGAGGCUCACUCGUGCUGCUGGCUUUGGGACCACACUUAACUCCCGGAUUUGAACGUCUAUGACACUCUUCCGAGCUGACACAGUGAAGAACAUGGAAGGAGAACUCACCCAGUCUGCCAGGGUCACAGAUGAUCAUACUCAAGAUCUUCCUGGGGAGUCAACGGCAAAUUUCACUGGGCUACUUUACAGAUGAAGAAGGAAUAUAAAGAAGGUUCUGGGACCCUGAAGUCCACGGAACACCCACCAUUACCUGAUCUUUGGAGCUUGUCAUUUGGCCAGUGGACCCUAAUAAACAUGUCCACGGGGAUGUGGGGAUGGAAUGCCGGAGCCUGGCUCGCUAGGGCAUCCAGGUUCUUCCUCUUUGCCCUGCUGUCUCCAGGCACCAAGAAUCUCCUGCAGUUCCCCAAAGAUGAACCCCCCAGUAUCUCAGGUCACUCUGUUUCCCUUGAUCUUUACCAAAUUCCUGACUCAGAGUUCCUCCCAUUUGCUUCUGACUCUCAUUUUAUUCUUAUGAUGUUUACCAUUUCUGUUCUCCUCAGUGUCCCUCUCUGAGUGCUAAGAGUAUGUUAAUAAGCCAGUGCUCAGACCACAGCACAAGGCAACUGCUCAGUGUCGGUCAUUAUCACUGUUAUUAAAUGUAACUUAAGGGAA
Molecule: small RNA, 885 nt
Filed under: Pongo abelii (Sumatran orangutan)
Lineage: Eukaryota; Metazoa; Chordata; Mammalia; Primates; Hominidae
Description: processed transcript
Source: RNAcentral